AGUUGUAUCCUGGCUCAGGAUGAACGCUGGCGGUAUGCUUAACACAUGCAAGUCGAACGAAAGUUUUUAACUUUAGUGGCGAACGGGUGCGUAAUACGUGAGAAUCUGCCCUUAGGAGAAGAAUAACUGCUGGAAACGGCUGCUAAAUCUUCAUAUAUCGAGAGAUGAAAUAGCUUAGGCUGCCUAAGGAUGAGCUCACGCCUGAUUAGCUAGUUGGUGAGGUAAUGGCUCACCAAGGCCACGAUCAGUAGCUGGUUUGAGAGAACGAUCAGCCACACUGGGACUGAGACACGGCCCAGACUCCUCCGGGAGGCAGCAGUGAGGAAUUUUCCGCAAUGGGCGAAAGCCUGACGGAGCAAUACCGCGUGAGGGAUGAAGGAUUUUGGUCUGUAAACCUCUUUUCUCAAGAAAGAAGUUCUGACGGUACUUGAGGAAUAAGCAUCGGCUAACUCCGUGCCAGCAGCCGCGGUAAUACGGGGGAUGCAAGCGUUAUCCGGAAUCAUUGGGCGUAAAGCGCCUGUAGGUUGUUUAAUAAGUCUGUUGUUAAAGACUAGGGCUUAACCCUAGAAAAGCAAUGGAAACUACUAGACUAGAGUAUGGCAGGGGUAGAGGGAAUUUCUAGUGUAGCGGUGAAAUGCGUAGAUAUUAGAAAGAACACCGGUGGCGAAAGCGCUCUACUGGACCAUUACUGACACUCAGAGGCGAAAGCUAGGGUAGCAAAAGGGAUUAGAUACCCCUGUAGUCCUAGCCGUAAACGAUGGAUACUACAUGUUGUGCAUUAUGUACAGUAUGGUAGCUAACGCGUUAAGUAUNCCCNCCUGGGGAGUACGCUC
This 833-nucleotide ribosomal RNA is filed under the name uncultured cyanobacterium. RNAcentral's name for it is "bacterial SSU rRNA". It matches the Rfam family "Bacterial small subunit ribosomal RNA", at positions 10 to 887 of the family's 1533-position model. The record is from RNAcentral. Lineage: Bacteria; Bacillati; Cyanobacteriota.